Felis catus (domestic cat) is the source of this 5152-nucleotide long non-coding RNA. RefSeq lists it as uncharacterized. The record is from RefSeq and is a predicted model, not a curated record. Lineage: Eukaryota; Metazoa; Chordata; Mammalia; Carnivora; Felidae. The transcript is spliced from 8 exons.
CACAUAGCUUGCUGUGAUUUGGAAACAACCAUUUGUCUUCUUAGGGAAGGACCAUGGAGUUUAUUCAGUCAAGGUCCCACAGAGGGAGUUGAGAGUUGCAGUAACCUGGCAUGAGUAAUCCCUGAUUCCAGGUGUGCCCUCUAUGAAACACAUGUAACCAUCUGCCAGGCCUCCCCAGCUGGUAACCGCUUCAGUCCUGCUCACUGAAUGAAUUGUCCAAUGCCUAUUGAUAUGGACCACCGUUGCUAAUGCUGUUGCCCCAAGAAUUAUGAAGUGAAAUAAAGACAGGUCCUUUAUUUGGAGAUGUAAGCCAGGAGAAGAAAGCCACAGACUGUAUCCCCAUCAUUGCCAUGGAGAGCAAAGGAGUCACUCUGUACAGAAUGACUACCAUAGCUGGCAUCAGACUCACUAAGCAAAGCAGAAGAAUCUUGAGUUUCUUAGAGAAAGUCAAAUCAAAGAGGAACGGGCACAACCUGGUCAACUAAAUCAGAUGCCAUGUCUGAUGUUGUCCUUUCCUUCUGUCCUGAUGUAUCUACUUCUGGGACUUUCCAGACUUAUUUCAGAUUCCUUCUGGGUAGUACCCAACCACAAACAUCAGUCGUAAGUUAGUAGCCUGAUUAUGCAUUUAUUCGUUGGGUAUCAGUGCCAUUAUUCCUUGAAGAGAUACUUCCAUCCUGCCCUUCUUAGGAAGUCCUUUGACACAUUAGCAGGUGGAAAGCUUUGGCGUGAAGCACGCAGAAAAUUCCAGGAAUUGUGCAGCUAUAUAGCAGGCCUAUGAGGCAAACCUCUUCAACACAAGCACACACCUUCUACUUGGGCUUGAUGGGGUAGCAUAACUAUUGUGCCAAUUUCUGAUACGUUUCUUCCCCCAAGCCAUAUGAAUGGAGAAAACUAAACUCUGGCAAUGCAGAAGAGCCUUCCACACUCUGUCCAAAGAGACACAGCCUGGUUAAAUACAUUUGAACUCCCUGAAUCCAUCACCAUCACAAGCAGUAUGAUGGCUUUUAAAGGAAGGUCCCUGAACCAGCAGCAGCAUCUCCUUGGGAAAGAUUAACCAGUCAAGGCACGCUAAAUCAAACUCUGGGGAUAUGUUUUAACAAACCCUCCAGCGAGUCUGCCGUACAUGUUCGAGAACAAACACUCUUGCCACAUUUAGCCUGUCCGUCUAUGACAAAGGCUAGAUAGCUGUCAAAAACCAGACUAGACUGGGAAGGUUCCCAGGACCAGAUCAUUUGGCAGAGUUGCAGGCUGUGAGGGGUUUGAAGCUAAUGGUGCCAGGUCACCAGCCCAGGACUAGAAAAAAUGCAAAAUGGCAUGUUCAGGGUUCUCUGGAUCUAUGAUAUUGUGUGACAAGUGGCAAGCAAACUUGGCAUUUUCUAAACAGGUGAUGAUGUAACAGAGUCAUAACCUGUUUUCCUGGAUCUCUUGCCAGAUUUGUAGGGCUUCAACAUGUAAAAUGUGAAGUACUGUGGAUUUCAUACCCCUACACUGAGUAGCAUACCUCAUGCUCUCUCUUAUAUGAACUGACAAGCACUGUAACUCUCACAUGCUGCAGAUAUUCAUACAGAGAAAAUUCUUCAUCAUUAGUUCUGGUACUAAAAAUGAGGCUGUACCGAGAAAACAAACAGGGACUUGCAUUUUCUCAACCCAAACAUUUUGCCAGAUGCCAUGUUUUGUGUUAAGAGGAAUUAAUAAGAAAAAUCUUACAAACCUAGGUGCACCUGUUUUAUAUAUUCAAUCAAUGAGGCUUUGUUUUUAUUCCAGAAGAAUGGAAGCUUCUCCUCAUGAGGAUAUUUACAGCACGACAGCUCCAAUGUAAUUUCAAAACACUGGGCCCAGAUGUAGUUGUAAUCUUGCAUUCCACCUAAACACAAGCAUAUUUAAUUUUUUAAGGUCUAAAAUUGGAACAGAGUCAAGUAUCCUGUACCUUGGGGACAAAUGAAUCCGUUGCAAAGAAAGUACAUUUAAACAGGAAAAGAUGAAUUUGACAUAUUAGCAUAUAAAGUCACGGCCUGCCAUUUUAUUACCCAGGCAUGAACAGGCAAUCCUAAAUGUUCCCAUAUGGGUAACUGGAUCAGAGCUAAGGUUCAACUGUGCAUCAAAAUCAACUGAGGGGCAGGGGAAGGGUCAGCCUUUUUUUUCCCCCCCGAUCAUACAUUACAAAAAGGAUUCAUCAAUGUACAUUUCUUCUGUGAAAAUCAUUUUAAACUGAGAGUGAUACUUCUAAAAAAUGUUUUUGCAAACCAUUCAUAAAUACACAUGUAAGCUAAGUAUACUCAUUCGGCGGAAUAAUAGUGGCUGACAUUUAGUGAGUGUUCACUAUUACCGGGCACCGUUUGAAGAGUUUGUCGCCCGUAUUUUACAGAUGGGGAAACAAUCACAUACAGUAAGUAACGUGCCAGUGAAGGCCGAGCCCAGAGCACAGGCUGUCUUGCGGACCCUGUGCUCUUAAUGACACCAAACUGCUUCAGGGGAUGAAAGAAAGGCUGCUGUGCUAACUCUCGGGAGAGAAGGGACCCAGGCCCCCUUGCGUCCGGGGCUGCCGUCACCUGUGCUCAGUUUCUGGUUCUUUCCUCUGAAAACCCAGUUUUCAAAAGGGUAUAAUCAUAUUUCCUAUCUUCUAAGAUGCAAGAUUUUCAUAUUUUAAAAUCUCUGAAUUGGAUGUGUCUUAAGUUUGAUGGCUAAAAACCAUCAUUGUGGCAUGAGUUUGGCCAGAAACAUUUGUUUUUUCUUCCUUGGUGGUACGGUGUAUUUUCCAACCAGUGGCAUCUUGGAUUUUGAAAUAUGGUAACUUUGAAGGAAGGACUUUCGGCCAGAUUUCAACUUGUUGUACUUGAUAUCUGCCUAUAAAAUACAUAUUCUCAAUUCCAUCAGGGUAUUUCGGAAGUACUGAAUUAGAAAAAAAGCUCAUACUAAGAAAAUAGUCAAGAUACAUCAAAAUAUUAUCUAGAUUAAUAUCUAUGUAGAUCUAGAUUCUAGCAGGAAGAAUUUCUAUGUCCUUUCUGGAUCCUUUACUCACCUUCUAAGUUUUGUAUUUCUCUCUGAGAUCAUUUUCACCAAGAAAUAGAAAACAGAAAAAAGGACGAGAAUAAUAAAACAGAAGCCCUUGGCUGGACGGCUCUCGGACAGAAAGAAUUUAAAUGGCAAAACAGGUGUACAGAGCACGCAGGGGUGAGGAUGCUUACGUGUGGAGAGUGUGUGUGCCUGUGGAUGAGGCAGGCCGGGCCCCGAGGACAAAACCUCCAGGCUGAGCCAGGAUGCUGUGUUCUAAGCUCCUCAACGUAGCUGGCUCUGCCUGCGUUUUCCCUCAGGAGACACAGCCGACACACAGCGACACUCGGAAACAAUUCCCAACGGCGACACCAGGUUCCUAGCUAACCUCCCGCAAGCACACCUGGAUGUGUCUGGAAGGUGACAGAUGGUGGGGCGGGGCGCUCGGGGCGCUAGUGCAGGACCGCUCUGCCACGGGGCGGGGCGGGAGGGAGCCCUGUCCUCCCUGGGGGAGUGCUGAGCAGAGACUAGGUUUGCGGGGCGGGGCGGGCUGUGCCUCGUCCAACAGAGACUGGGGGUGUGGUGCUGUCUCGCCGGCCCUGCAGCUUCCAGUCGUGGUCUGUGCUAAUUCCCAUCACCUGGAAAGCUGGCAGAGACACACAAGUACCGGCUUGUGCAAGGCUACCUGACGGUCUGUGUGUCCCCAGUGACGACCGGGAAAGUGGCCUAUCACCCAAGUACGGCCUACGGCCUGCUAGAGUAAUCCUGUCGGGGACCAGCUCAGCCACACCGCCCACCUACGAUUUAUCAACUGAGGGCAGGACGGCCCAGAGGGGAGACGCGGAGGCCCUUUUACCCUGGCAGAGAAGGCAAGCCGAGGAAGAUCCGUCUCCUCCAGACGCAGAGCAGUAACUCCACUCUGGGCUCAGAAAGCCAGAGCUGGGGCCGUGUCUGCCUACCUGGAACACCAUUGUCAAACGGGUAACUCGCCACCAGGGCGCCGCCGUGGAGGUUUGCAGAGAGGACGAACGUCUCUGUUUUCAGCCACUCCAUGACAGCUGCAGUUUCAGGCUGCCUCGAUACAUUAUUAAGUUCAAAAGCAUCUGGGAAGUUUCUAUUCAGGUCAUAGUAGUUACUAUUUUCCCUUUAAAAGAAAGAAUAUUUUAGUUUUUAUUUUAAAUAUUGAUGAAUAUUUUAGGUAUGUGAGGAAGUAGACUCAUGCAACAUGCAAACCUUUUGUCUGGGCACCAGCUGUUUUUCAAAAUGCGACUACAGGGCUGGGGAUGGUUGUCUUGGUGGCCCCCAAUGAACCACACCUGGCGUUCACAUAACCUCCGGUCCCCUCCCGUGUGACUUGCUCUCACCAGUGGGAUGGUAGCUAUUGUGAUGUGAACAGAGGUUUGAUAAGUGUGUGUGUUUUAGGGUUUCGCUCUGGGCACGCUCCCUUUGGGAACCCUGAGACUCCGAUACUAGCCAUGUGAAGAGUCCGCGUGGAGAAAUGAGAAACCCAGGUGACAGCCAGAAUUGAGACUCCACACAUGUCCCAGUCCAGCUGUCUCAGCCACACCCAGCUGAAGCUCCAGACACGUGGUGCAGAGAUUGGCCAGCCUUGCUCUAUCUUGUCCAAAUUCCUAACUUCUACAAUUGAGGAAUACCUUCUGGAGUGGUGGAGCAGAGGUGGCUCAGAGAGGGCAAGGGAGCGUGUGUCUCCGUGAGAAUGCCCGCUGUGGCCGGAGGCCGCCAUGCGUGUCUCGGUGGAUGACGGACUGAGAACCACUGCAUUAGAUGUAUGCAGAUUUUAAUAGGGGAAAAUCCAAGUUUGGAAUCAGCACAAUUUACAUAGGUUUCGAUUUUAAUAUUCCCCUAUUGCACCUUUGUGCAAUUUUUGCCAUAUCUGUGUACGUCUGAUUGCCACGUUCUCACAUUUCUGAAACUUCAGUCGUCUGCACAUCAUCCUCACAAUGUUUUGCCCUAUCUGCACAUUAUCUACACUACUGCUUAGUUUAUACUUUCUUUCAACUGGCUCACUCUUCACUUACAUGAAAAAUGAAAACCUCUGUGUCAUUAUCAUGUUGCUAGAUAUGUUUUUUUUUAAUAUGAAAUUUAUUGUCAAAUUGGUUUCCAUACAACACCCAGUGCUCAUCCCAACAGGUGCCCUUCU